This 469-nucleotide ribosomal RNA is filed under the name uncultured bacterium. Its description in RNAcentral is "bacterial SSU rRNA". It matches the Rfam family "Bacterial small subunit ribosomal RNA", at positions 224 to 704 of the family's 1533-position model. The record is from RNAcentral.
GAUGGGCCCGCGGCCUAUCAGCUAGUUGGUGAGGUAACGGCCCACCAAGGCGACGACGGGUAGCUGGCGUGAGAGCGUGGCCAGCCACACUGGGACUGAGACACGGCCCAGACUCCUACGGGAGGCAGCAGUGGGGAAUCUUGCGCAAUGGGCGAAAGCCUGACGCAGCGACGCCGCGUGGGGGAUGAAGGCCCUCGGGUUGUAAACCCCUUUCGGCAGGGACGAAGCGAAAGUGACGGUACCUGCAGAAGAAGCCCCGGCUAACUACGUGCCAGCAGCCGCGGUAAGACGUAGGGGGCGAGCGUUGUCCGGAUUUAUUGGGCGUAAAGCGCGCGUAGGCGGCCGCGUUAGUCGGAUGUGAAAUCUCCGGGCUCAACCCGGAAACUGCAUCGCGAACUGGCCUGGCUGGAGUGCAGGAGAGGGAUGUGGAAUCCCCGGUGUAGCGGUGAAAUGCGUAGAUAUCGGGAGG